RNAcentral lists this ribosomal RNA (253 nucleotides) under uncultured bacterium. RNAcentral's name for it is "partial 16S ribosomal RNA". It matches the Rfam family "Bacterial small subunit ribosomal RNA", at positions 524 to 776 of the family's 1533-position model. The record is from RNAcentral.
UACAGAGGUGGCAAGCGUUGUUCGGAAUUACUGGGCGUAAAGGGCGCGUAGGCGGCCUUGUAAGUCCUGUGUGAAAUCCCCCGGCUCAACUGGGGAACUGCACAGGAGACUGCUUGGCUUGAGUUCGGGAGAGGGAAGCGGAAUUCCAGGUGUAGCGGUGAAAUGCGUAGAUAUCUGGAGGAAUACCGGUGGCGAAGGCGGCAUCCUGGACCGGCAUUGACGCUGAGGAGCGAAAGCCAGGGGAGCAAACGGG